GAUGAACGCUGGCGGCGUGCUUAACACAUGCAAGUCGAACGGGAAUUACUUUAUUGAAACUUCGGUCGAUUUAAUUUAAUUCUAGUGGCGGACGGGUGAGUAACGCGUGGGUAACCUGCCUUAUACAGGGGGAUAACAGUCAGAAAUGGCUGCUAAUACCGCAUAAGCGCACAGAGCUGCAUGGCUCGGUGUGAAAAACUCCGGUGGUAUAAGAUGGACCCGCGUUGGAUUAGCUUGUUGGUGGGGUAACGGCCCACCGAGGCGACGAUCCAUAGCCGGCCUGAGAGGGUGAACGGCCACAUUGGGACUGAGACACGGCCCAGACUCCUACGGGAGGCAGCAGUGGGGAAUAUUGCACAAUGGGGGAAACCCUGAUGCAGCGACGCCGCGUGAAGGAAGAAGUAUCUCGGUAUGUAAACUUCUAUCAGCAGGGAAGAUAGUGACGGUAC
Molecule: ribosomal RNA, 449 nt
Filed under: uncultured bacterium
Lineage: Bacteria
Description: bacterial SSU rRNA
Rfam family: Bacterial small subunit ribosomal RNA
Source: RNAcentral